RNAcentral lists this ribosomal RNA (406 nucleotides) under uncultured bacterium. Its description in RNAcentral is "partial 16S ribosomal RNA". It matches the Rfam family "Bacterial small subunit ribosomal RNA", at positions 30 to 526 of the family's 1533-position model. The record is from RNAcentral.
AUUGAACGCUGGCGGCAGGCCUAACACAUGCAAGUCGAACGAGUGGCGGACGGGUGAGUAAUGUCUGGGAAACUGCCUGAUGGAGGGGAAUAACUACGGGAAACGGUAGCUAAUCCCGCAUACCAUCGGAUGUGCCCAGAUGGGAUUAGCUUGUUGGUGGGGUAACGGCUCACCAAGGCGACGAUCCCUAGCUGGUUUGAGAGGAUGACCAGCCCCACUGGAACUGAGAAACGGUCCAGACUCCUCCGGGAGGCAGCAGUGGGGAAUAUUGCCCAAUGGGCGCAAGCCUGAUGCAGCCAUGCCGCGUGUAUGAAGAAGGCCUUCGGGUUGUAAAGUCCGUUCAGCGGGGAGGCGUUACCCGCAGAAGAAGCACCGGCUAACUCCGUGCCAGCAGCCGCGGUAAUAC